CAGUCAUGGCAGGUGUGGUACCAGAAGGAUCCCAAUUUGAUGCUCGCCAGUAUGAUGCCAAAAUGAAUGAGUUACUUGGCAGUGAUGGAUCAGACUUCUUCACAUCCUAUGAUGAGGUUUUUGAGAGUUUUGAUGCUAUGGGAUUGCAGGAGAACCUCCUUAGAGGCAUCUAUGCUUAUGGUUUUGAGAAGCCCUCGGCAAUUCAGCAAAGAGGAAUUGUUCCCUUUUGCAAAGGACUUGAUGUGAUUCAACAAGCACAGUCUGGAACU
Long non-coding RNA from Morus notabilis, 269 nucleotides. RefSeq lists it as uncharacterized. The transcript has 3 exons. The record is from RefSeq and is a predicted model, not a curated record. NCBI's taxonomy places the organism in Eukaryota, Viridiplantae, Streptophyta, Magnoliopsida, Rosales, Moraceae.